UCUUCAGUGCUUUCGAGGGGCCUGGUAGACAGGUCUGGGCCCAAGGUACAGAUCUGGGCUUUUUGGGAGGACAGGUGUUUGAAGGCAUGGGAGAGACUUAGGUUACCCACAAGAAGAUCCAAAGAGUCAUAGGUGUGAGAGCUUUUUCAGUGGGUAUAUUGAGGAUGCUUAUAAGCUGAAAGAAAGUAGCCAGCAGAGGAAGGGUGUGAAGAUCUAGGAGAGGAAAUGAUUGCUCAUUUGUUUUCAAAAAGCUGAAUACUUAUUGUGUGCCUGGCCCUUUUCUAGGAUCUGGGGUUCACACCGUGUGUUAUCUCUUCUGCAAGGACAGUUCAACUCAUCCCCUGGUGAAGAGAAGUCAGAUUAUUCUUUGCAUCCCAUUCAGGUGUUGUGACAGAAAUAAAGUUUCCAGAAGUUGUGUUCCUGCAAUAAGAAAUAAAGAUGUGACCUUCCAGUUGUGUAAAGCUCAUGAAUGCUGUGUAAGUGCGUCGGGUGCAAUAAGGAACCUGGAGCUAAAUGGGCUAGUUCUGAGAGAGAGAGACUUAACUAUGUUAACAAAGGAAAUCCAUCUCCGUCCUUUGCGGGGGCAGUCCCGAGCUCAUGUUUUAACGGACGCGAAUGCAAACCGUGGUUCUCACGUGACUUUCUGAAGAGCCCCCGCAGCAGGCCCAGGUACCUUGAGUGGACUAAGUCUCACUUUAUGGCAAUGGCAUCAGAUGGUGGCUACAGAAGGUUGCCGACGUCCCUGUGUGCUCUGACAGGCUCUGCAGACCGGGGGACGAAAGGACCAAGGAACUCUGACCGCCCUCGGGAAUCCCAAGUGACUGGAGGGACAGCGCGUCAGGGCCCCAGGCAGUGUCGCCCACUGUUCCGGAGGCGGGCGGAGGCUCCGCAGCCUCAUUUCGUCCCGUCCCUUCCAGGAUUUAAAAUUGUUGUCAAGAUGCUGGGUUAACUCAGGCAGGUCUACAAAGGCGUCCCAAGCAGCAAACAUGUCUGUGAUGAAAUAGCCAAUGAAAGAGAUUUGGGAUUUGGGGAUGCUGCAGGUAUUUCUGUCAAAAACUGGCAUCACCACAGGCAAGUCCUGUCGCUUCUCUUCAUCAGUCUGAGAAAAACAUUCUUCUGAGAUACGUGCGGCCCACUCAAUGCACUGCUCCAGGGGUCGGCAGGGAUUGGACACAUCAGCACACUUAAUCAGUCAGGGUGAGUCACCCCAACUCUCCCUCCUCUGGAGCUUAGUUCCUCCUGAUUGUCACUCGUUACACUGAAAACAGAUUUCAGGAGUCAGCACGUGCAGCCAUAAUGUGUGCCUAAUUCCACAUCCCAGUCACUGGGACACAAAAUUUUGGUGUCUUAAGUCUGGCUCCCACAUCACCACUCACAUAUGUCAGUUCUUCCUCUACAGCUGAGUCAGUGAGUAAAGACACAUAAACAGAAGUAGAUUAAUACGAACAAGGUUUUAUUGACAUAUAUAUAUGUACAUAAAGCUGGGAAAGAGAAAGGCCCAUUGAGGCAAAUGCAUAGGGGGAGAGGAAGCAUCUGAAAACAGCAGUGGGCAUCCUGCCAGUUCCAAGUCUAGGGAAAACUUGGGUCCGCCAAGUUAACAGUCAAGCCAGGGAUGGCACAGUGGAUGAUACAGCCAGCUCUCUUCCAUUCUCCUAACUGGAGCUUCUCAAGUCUGGUGUAGUUCUGAAGUGGGCUCAUAUGCUCCUCACCCUCCAGCACACACAUACACACACAGACACACACACACACACACACACUUGCACACCCCUGAGGUGUGGUCCUCCGGCUUGCUGUAGGAAGAGAGGAGGUGAAGUUUCACUUCAAGGGGCUGAGCCACUUUCCAGUGAGGCAAGGUCCAUUCAUGGUGACACACAGUUUGCAGAAUAAGAUCUGCUCUUCAUUUGUUGAGUUUCUUCAUAGAAGAAAGGAAUUCGCUGGUGGCUCCUAUGAAGCCCUGGGCAGGUUAUGAGGCUGCCAGACUCCUAUGAGCACAGGCACAGCUGCCCUGACCAGGGGCCUGCAAACACAAUGCUGGCUCGUCUAAGUCAGAGGGGUGUCCUGACUCGGGGACCCCAGUGUUCUUCCUGAGAGUGGAGCUUCCUCUCUAAGUAUGGAUGCUGCUAUCCCCCAUGGCACCACCUGGGUUUUGACCAGGGGGGGCCUCAGGUGCUUUGUAUGAAUGUGGCACCAGAAGUGUAUCCAGUCACAGCAGGUGUGGUGCUGUCCCCCAUGCCCCCCCCCCCGGUUCUCUGCACAGAUGGGUUCCAAGUCUGAUGGCAGUUAUUGACACAGGGCCUCCCAGCACCGGUGAGAUGUUGUGCCCUCCAUCGGCACCACCUGUGUGUUGGCCAGCCCCCGUCUCCUCAGUGGGAGGUGACUGGAUGGUACCGGCUUCCUGACGUUGACUCCCUGCUCAGGGCAGAAGGCAGGCGCUGGAGCAGCAGGGUGGUCCCGGUCAGAUGUGGCAGCCUCCCAGGAGGGCAAAACCAGCGGGUGACAGCCCACCGGGGCCCCACGGCGGGGCGGGCGGCGGGGCCGGCGGCGGUGGCGGAGCCAGCUCGAGAGAGGGUAUAUUCAUCUGUGUUAAUCACUGCUGUGUUUCCUGAACAUGCCUACAAAUCAUACUGAAGAAUGGUGCCUGAAAUUUGGUAAGAGAUCAAUAAAUUUUCUUGGCUGAAUGAAGAAAUGUGUUCAUAAAUUAAUGAACAAAUCUUCAGGGCUUCUG
Long non-coding RNA from Balaenoptera musculus (blue whale), 2725 nucleotides. RefSeq lists it as uncharacterized. NCBI's taxonomy places the organism in Eukaryota, Metazoa, Chordata, Mammalia, Artiodactyla, Balaenopteridae. The record is from RefSeq and is a predicted model, not a curated record. The transcript has 5 exons.